This 209-nucleotide RNase P RNA is filed under the name Candidatus Methanoperedens nitratireducens. RNAcentral describes it as "Candidatus Methanoperedens nitroreducens Archaeal RNase P". It matches the Rfam family "Archaeal RNase P", at positions 14 to 214 of the family's 288-position model. Rfam says of the family: Ribonuclease P (RNase P) is a ubiquitous endoribonuclease, found in archaea, bacteria and eukarya as well as chloroplasts and mitochondria. The record is from RNAcentral. Lineage: Archaea; Methanobacteriati; Methanobacteriota; Methanomicrobia; Methanosarcinales; Candidatus Methanoperedentaceae.
CGGCUGCCGGCGGUAGACCUACUGCUGAGGAAAGUCCCCUCACCUUCUGGACCGCGGACACAUUCAAGUGUGUAGGGUGAGAAUCCUGGCUCUGGAACAGAAACGAUACCGCAGCGCAGAAAUGCGAUGAUUUCGAAAGAAUGAGGUCAUGCGUUUUGCGGAUGGAACGGCGAAUCCCCGCGGGUGCAAGCCGAAAUAGGAUAAAAGGG